This 77-nucleotide ribosomal RNA is filed under the name Bacillus pumilus. Its description in RNAcentral is "partial 16S ribosomal RNA". The record is from RNAcentral. Lineage: Bacteria; Bacillati; Bacillota; Bacilli; Caryophanales; Bacillaceae.
GAUGUGGAGGAACACCAGUGGCGAAGGCGACUCUCUGGUCUGUAACUGACGCUGAGGAGCGAAAGCGUGGGGAGCGA